RNAcentral lists this unclassified non-coding RNA (321 nucleotides) under uncultured bacterium. RNAcentral's name for it is "partial contains 16S ribosomal RNA and 16S-23S ribosomal RNA intergenic spacer region". It matches the Rfam family "Bacterial small subunit ribosomal RNA", at positions 69 to 357 of the family's 1533-position model. The record is from RNAcentral.
GAAAGCGGGGGCAACUCCGUGAGUAAAGUGGCAGACGGGUGAGUAACACGUGAACAACCUACCCUCGAGUGGGGAAUAACACCGCGAAAGCGGUGCUAAUGCCGCAUAACAUCCCCGGGUUGCAUGAUCUGGGGAUCAAAGGCGAAAGUUGCUUGAGGAGGGGUUCGCGGCUGAUUAGCUAGUUGGUGUUUUUUCCGCCCACCAAGGCAGAGAUCAGUAGCCGGCCUGAGAGGGCGAACGNCCACACUNCAUUCGUGACACGAUGAUGACUCCUNCCUCAAGUCCGNUGUGGNAGAAUNUNNANCUCCUCCGGCAAAUAUU